CAGUGGCGAACGGGUGAGUAACACGUGAGCAACCUGCCCUGGACUCUGGGAUAAGCGCUGGAAACGGCGUCUAAUACUGGAUAUGAGACGUGAUCGCAUGGUCAACGUUUGGAAAGAUUUUUCGGUCUGGGAUGGGCUCGCGGCCUAUCAGCUUGUUGGUGAGGUAAUGGCUCACCAAGGCGUCGACGGGUAGCCGGCCUGAGAGGGUGACCGGCCACACUGGGACUGAGACACGGCCCAGACUCCUACGGGAGGCAGCAGUGGGGAAUAUUGCACAAUGGGCGGAAGCCUGAUGCAGCAACGCCGCGUGAGGGAUGACGGCCUUCGGGUUGUAAACCUCUUUUAGCAGGGAAGAAGCGAAAGUGACGGUACCUGCAGAAAAAGCGCCGGCUAACUACGUGCCAGCAGCCGCGGUAAUACGUAGGGCGCAAGCGUUAUCCGGAAUUAUUGGGCGUAAAGAGCUCGUAGGCGGUUUGUCGCGUCUGCUGUGAAAUCCCGAGGCUCAACCUCGGGCCUGCAGUGGGUACGGGCAGACUAGAGUGCGGUAGGGGAGAUUGGAAUUCCUGGUGUAGCGGUGGAAUGCGCAGAUAUCAGGAGGAACACCGAUGGCGAAGGCAGAUCUCUGGGCCGUAACUGACGCUGAGGAGCGAAAGGGUGGGGAGCAAACAGGCUUAGAUACCCUGGUAGUCCACCCCGUAAA
RNAcentral lists this ribosomal RNA (700 nucleotides) under Microbacterium sp. RNAcentral describes it as "bacterial SSU rRNA". It matches the Rfam family "Bacterial small subunit ribosomal RNA", at positions 93 to 806 of the family's 1533-position model. Lineage: Bacteria; Bacillati; Actinomycetota; Actinomycetes; Micrococcales; Microbacteriaceae. The record is from RNAcentral.